UUUUUUCCGAUAUUCGGUUAUCACCUGAAAAGCUCAUUUGAUCAGAACUUAUAAUUCAAACAAGAAAGAGAACCAAGGAUCAAGUAAAAUAAUAAUAUAAGCCAAAUCAUCAUGCACAGGUUGAUUAUAUAUAUAUAACAUUUCUUACAACUUAAAGAAACACUGGCAAGAUUAAAGAGGAACUGAUUCAGUUUCCAUAACAACUAUC
This 208-nucleotide unclassified non-coding RNA is filed under the name Hevea brasiliensis (rubber tree). Lineage: Eukaryota; Viridiplantae; Streptophyta; Magnoliopsida; Malpighiales; Euphorbiaceae. The record is from RNAcentral.